Molecule: unclassified non-coding RNA, 240 nt
Filed under: soil metagenome
Description: partial contains 5.8S ribosomal RNA, internal transcribed spacer 2, and large subunit ribosomal RNA
Source: RNAcentral
AACACUGUUAACCUGCGGUACCUGCGGAGGGAUCAUUAAAAUAUUACUAGUUAGCUUUGGAGAUUCCUCUAAAGUUAAUUAUGUAUUUCAAUCACUUGUUUACUUAUACCGGUUGCUUCCGUGAAAAUUAGGGUGCCUGCGCUAUUCGUAGUUGUAGGUUACCUUUCACGGGUGUUUUAUAAAAAACUAUGUUUUGAAUGACUUGUCUGAUUAUUAGUUUUAAAUAAAGUUAAAACUUUU